This 427-nucleotide ribosomal RNA is filed under the name uncultured bacterium. RNAcentral describes it as "partial 16S ribosomal RNA". It matches the Rfam family "Bacterial small subunit ribosomal RNA", at positions 355 to 774 of the family's 1533-position model. The record is from RNAcentral.
UGGGGAAUAUUGCACAAUGGGCGCAAGCCUGAUGCAGCCAUGCCACGUGUAUGAAGAAGGCCUUCGGGUUGUAAAGUACUUUCAGCGAGGAGGAAGGCGUUGUGGUUAAUAACCGCAGCGAUUGACGUUACUCGCAGAAGAAGCACCGGCUAACUCCGUGCCAGCAGCCGCGGUAAUACGGAGGGUGCAAGCGUUAAUCGGAAUUACUGGGUGUAAAGCGCACGCAGGCGGUCUGUCAAGUCGGAUGUGAAAUCCCCGGGCUCAACCUGGGAACUGCAUCCGAAACUGGCAGGCUAGAGUCUUGUAGAGGGGGGUAGAAUUCCAGGUGUAGCGGUGAAAUGCGUAGAGAUCUGGAGGAAUACCGGUGGCGAAGGCGGCCCCCUGGACAAAGACUGACGCUCAGGUGCGAAAGCGUGGGGAGCAAACA